Long non-coding RNA from Ylistrum balloti, 3272 nucleotides. RefSeq lists it as uncharacterized. The transcript is spliced from 2 exons. NCBI's taxonomy places the organism in Eukaryota, Metazoa, Mollusca, Bivalvia, Pectinida, Pectinidae. The record is from RefSeq and is a predicted model, not a curated record.
AGAAGUACACACAAUGACAUCACCAGUGUUGGUAUAAUUAUAUAUACAGACAAGGACAUCACCAGUGUUGUCAUUUUAAUGACACAGAAGUACACACAAGGACAUCACCAGUGUUGUCAUUUUAAUGACACAGAAGUACACACAAGGACAUCACCAGUGUUGUCAUUUUAAUGACACAGAAGUACACACAAGGACAUCACCAGUGUUGUCAUUUUAAUGACACAGAAGUACACACAAGGACAUCACCAGUGUUGGUAUAAUUAUAUAUACAGACAAGGACAUCACCAGUGUUGUUAUAAUGAUAUAGUACAGACAAUGACAUCACCAGUGUUGUUAUAAUGAUAUAGUACAGACAAGGACAUCACCAGUGUUGUUAUAAUGAUAUAGUACAGACAAGGACAUCACCAGUGUUGUUAUAAUGAUAUAUACAGACAAGGACCUCACCAGUGUUGUUAUAAUGAUAUAGUACAGACAAGGACAUCACCAGUGUUGUUAUAAUGAUAUAGUACAGACAAGGACAUCACCAGUGUUGUUAUAAUGAUAUAGUACAGACAAGGACAUCACCAGUGUUGUUAUAAUGAUAUAUACAGACAAGGACAUCACCAAUAACUGAACUGUAACCUCUACUGACCAGUAACAUGCAACUGCCAACAUUGCCUUGGAGGCCUCAUGACAUCAGGCAGCUUCCCAUUUGCAAUUAGACAACAGUUCUGAAAUGUGUUUGAGGAUAUUAAGUUACUAAAUGUAACUUUGAUGUCAGUUGUACUGGGUAGAUGUCAGUUGUACUGGGUAUUAUAUAUGUCAGUUGUACCAGGUAUUAUAGAUGUCAGUUGUACUGGGUAUUAUAGAUGUCAGUUGUACUGGGUAUUAUAGAUGUCAGUUGUACUGGGUAUUAUAGAUGUCAGUUGUACUGGGUAUUAUAGAUGUCAGUUGUACUGGGUAUUAUAUAUGUCAGUUGUACCAGGUAUUAUAGAUGUCAGUUGUACCGGGUAUUAUAGAUGUCAGUUGUACCGGGUAUUAUAGAUGUCAGUUGUACCGGGUAUUAUGGAUGUCAGUUGUACCGGGUAUUAUAGAUGUCAGUUGUACCAGGUAUUAUAGAUGUCAGUUGUACUGGGUAUUAUAGAUGUCAGUUGUACCAGGUAUUAUAGAUGUCAGUUGUACCAGGUAUUAUAGAUGUCAGUUGUACAAGGUAUUAUAGAUGUCAGUUGUACCAGGUAUUAUAGAUGUCAGUUGUACUGGGUAUUAUAGAUGUCAGUUGUACUGGGUAUUAUAGAUGUCAGUUGUACUGGGUAUUAUAGAUGUCAGUUGUACUGGGUAUUAUAGAUGUCAGUUGUACUGGGUAUUAUGGAUGUCAGUUGUACUGGGUAUUAUGGAUGUCAGUUGUACCGGGUAUUAUAGAUGUGAGUUGUACCAGGUAAUAUAGAUGUCAGUUGUACCAGGUAUUAUAGAUGUCAGUUGUACUGGGUAUUAUAGAUGUCAAUUGUACCAGGUAUUAUAGAUGUCAGUUGUACUGGGUAUUAUAGAUGUCAAUUGUACCAGGUAUUAUAGAUGUCAGUUGUACCAGGUAUUAUAGAUGUCAGUUGUACUGGGUAUUAUAGAUGUCAGUUCUACUGGGUAUUAUAGAUGUCAGUUGUACCAGGUAUUAUAGAUGUCAGUUGUAGUUUAAUUCUCCUACUUGUCAUCAUCACUGCUUAUUUGCAUUUUAAGUUUGAAGUUGAAGCUAACGCAAUACUAUGUAUGUAUGGCCACAUUUCUGUGACAGUGGCAGUCAUUGUCUAUGAUUACAUCUCUGUGACAGUGGCAAUCAUUGCCAGUGGUUAAGCUUUCAUGACGUUUUUUGUUGCUAUGGUUACACAUCUAUGACUGUGGCAAUUAUUACUGUGUGACAGUGUCAGACAUCUUUGCUAUGUUUAAACCUGUGUGACAGUGUCAGACAUCUUUGCUAUGUUCAAACCUGUGUGACAGUGCCGGACAUCUUUGUUAUGUUUAAACAUGUGUUACAGUGUCAGACAUCUUUGCUAUGUUUAAACCUGUGUUACAGUCAUUGUCGCUAUGGUUUUACUUCUGAGAAAGUUAUUGCCAUGUGGUGGCAGAUAUUGCUACAGUUUAACCACUUUGAAGUGAAGAGUUGCUAUGGAAACACCUAUACAACACUUGUUGCUCUGGGUACACCUGUAUGAUAGUUUGUGCUAUGUUAACACCUCUGUUACAACUGUUGCUAAGGUAACACCUAUGAUGUUGUUGCUAUGGUAAUACUUAUAUGACAGGCAUUGCAAUGGUAAUACCUCUGUGACAGUUGUUGCUAUGGUAACACCUUUAUGACAAUGAUAGUGUAUAUGUUGUCACUUUCUCUGAUCCCAUUGACACCAGAUGAGUCCACAUUCUAGUGACAUAUUAUGUAGAUUUAUUAGCUCACUAUCAUCAGAUGGUUAGCUAUUCAAAUCACCCUAUUUCCAUGGUCCAUCAUCUAUUUGUCCCUAAACAAUUUUUGUUAUCAUAUUCCUUAAGAAGUUCUGAAGUUCUGUAAAUACAUUUACACCUGUACAGUUACAUCUUGCAGUCAGGCUUGUGUAAAUGUAUUUACACCUAUACAGUUACACCUUGCAGUCAGGCUUGUGUAAAUGUAUUUACACCUGUACAGUUAGACUGUGCAGCCAGGCUUGUUAAAACGUAUUUACACCUGUACAGUUACACUGUAGAGCCAGGCUUGUUUAAAUGUAUUUACACCUGUACAGUUACACCUUGCAAUCAGGCUUGUGUUAAUGUAUUUACACCUGUACAGUACACUGUGCAGCCGGGCUAGUGUAAAAGUAUUUACACCUGUACAGUAACACUCUAGAGCCAGACUUGUGUAAAUGUAUUUACACCUGUACAGUUACACUGUGCAGCCGGGCUUGUGUAAAUGUAUUUACACCUGUACCGUUACACUCUAGAGCCGGGCUUGUGUAAAUGUAUUUACACCUGUACCGUUACACUGUAGAGCCAGGCUUGUGUAAAUGUAUUUACACCUGUACCGUUACACUGUAGAGCCAGGCUUGUGUAAAUGUAUUUACACCUGUACCGUUACACUGUAGAGCCAGGCUUGUGCAAAUGUAUUUACACCUGUACAGUUACACUGUAGAGCCAGGCUUGUGCAAAUGUAUUUACACCUGUACCGUUACACUCUAGAGCCAGGCUUGUGUGAAUGUAUUUACACCUGUACAGUUACACUCUAGAGCCAGACUUACACAUUUCUAUUUAUUUUCGUUUUGGAAUAAAUCAGGAAAAACAUG